AUUGAACGCUGGCGGCAGGCCUAACACAUGCAAGUCGAACGAGUGGCGGAAGGGUUAGUAAUGUCUGGGAAACUGCCUGAUGGAGGGGGAUAACUACUGGAAACGGUAGCUAAUACCGCAUACCAUCAGAUGUGCCCAGAUGGGCUGAGCUUGUUGGUGGGGUAACGGCUCACCAAGGCGACUAUCCCUAGCUGGUCGGAGAGGAUGACCAGUCACACUGGAACGGAGACACGGUCCAGACUCCUACGGGAGGCAGAAGUGGGGAAUAUUGCACAAUGGGCGCAAGCCGGAUACAGCCAUGCCGCGUGUAUGAAGAAGGCCUUCGGGUUGUAAAGUACUUUCAGCGGGGAGGCGUUACCCGCAGAAGAAGCACCGGCUAACUCCGUGCCAACAGCCGCGGUAAUUC
This 406-nucleotide ribosomal RNA is filed under the name uncultured bacterium. RNAcentral's name for it is "partial 16S ribosomal RNA". It matches the Rfam family "Bacterial small subunit ribosomal RNA", at positions 30 to 526 of the family's 1533-position model. The record is from RNAcentral.